UGCGUAGGUGGUUUCUUAAGUCAGGAGUGAAAGGCUACGGCUCAACCGUAGUAAGCUCUUGAAACUGGGAAACUUGAGUACAGGAGAGGAAAGUGGAAUUCCUAGUGUAGCGGUGAAAUGCGUAGAUAUUAGGAGGAACACCAGUAGCGAAGGCGCCUUUCUGGACUGUGUCUGACGCUGAGAUGCGAAAGCCAGGGUAGCGAAC
This 205-nucleotide ribosomal RNA is filed under the name uncultured bacterium. Its description in RNAcentral is "partial 16S ribosomal RNA". It matches the Rfam family "Bacterial small subunit ribosomal RNA", at positions 568 to 773 of the family's 1533-position model. The record is from RNAcentral.